RNAcentral lists this long non-coding RNA (497 nucleotides) under Salvia miltiorrhiza (redroot sage). Its description in RNAcentral is "long non-coding RNA (SMIL_LNC013635)". Lineage: Eukaryota; Viridiplantae; Streptophyta; Magnoliopsida; Lamiales; Lamiaceae. The record is from RNAcentral.
UACGUUAGUGCAACCUGCGCAACCGGUCCGAAAGGGAAGUACUGCAUUUGUCUCGACUAGUAUUGCUGCACGUCGACAUGUACUUCUUUUACUGUAAAACCUUUGUUUUCAUCUCUUGAUUCCAACUAUGUCCACUUACACACAUCAUGUAUGUGUGCAUGUUAGUGAUAUGGAUGUUGGAGAUGAGAUUAGUGUUUUAUGUGGUCGUAUCGUUUAUGUUUUUUUUUUUUCUUUACUAUAGAAGUGCAUGUGUUAUGUGUGAGGUGUUGGGUGUUGUUAAGAAACAGUUUAAAUAAUGUCAUGCCUCCUACGACACUAAUGGUGUCUAUUUUAUUUAAAUCAAGUGAUCCUAUAGUUUAUUAAUCUAUGUAUGGCCUCCAUAGAAACAUUUGUUUACUUAUCGAUAUUGCUUCUUCGUAUAAUCUUUCGUAUUUUGAGUAAGUAGGUUUAAUUAAGCCAAAAUGCUGAGAAGUGGGAACUGAAUGAAAUUUAAAAAC